Molecule: non-coding RNA, 4626 nt
Organism: Rattus norvegicus (Norway rat)
Lineage: Eukaryota; Metazoa; Chordata; Mammalia; Rodentia; Muridae
Source: RefSeq, a predicted model, not a curated record
UUUCUUUUUUGGUGGCACCCCAAACAGCAGGGGGGUCAGCUAAAACUCUUCAGUCUGAAGCACACAGCAGUUCCCCAAACUCCAGACGCUUGUACCUUGAUUACAGCCCUCCUGUGGGCACCAUAACAAUCAAGUAGGAAGGGAAGGAUCUAGUUUUACAGAGACAUCAAAUGAAACCGCACGGCGAAGUCUGUUUAAAGGCGUUCUCGCAGGCACUGUGAGCCCGGGACUUGUCAACUAGUACGAAUUGAAAUUGGAUCUCGCCUCAUCUUUGUGAGAGGCGCAUCUCUGACCUCCGAGAAUAAGAUGGCUUUUUAGAUAUGCAAUAGGGCAUUUAAUCAGCCUUCCUGCAGGAGCAGCGGGCUGUGUUUGGUUGAUACUGGUACGUACCUUAAGCACACCUGACCAAGUUCAAAAGCAACACAGACCUAGGGGCAUACGCAUACAUAUAGGAUGCCGUUUGGUAACAUGACCGCUCAGCAAGGCGACAGCAGUAUGUUUCUUGCUGGGGCGUAUGCUCUCCCCAGUCAUGGGCGUUUGGCCAGCUCUACCAAACCAGGCAUGAAAUCCCUCCUGUCGAGUAGCCUCAUUUGGAUCAGGACUUGGUUGGUUACCCAGACUGCAUCAUUGGGCCCAUCUUACCAGCAGGUCGGUGUUACUGCAGGCAGGAUCCACCAUUUGACAAGACCAUUGAUGCCCUUCCUCCCCCAGCAGCCAGCAAGUACCUCUGACAUUAUAUAAGCAAACCAGCAGGGAGUUUCCUGGUUAACUUGAGGUUGAUUUCUCUCUAUCCUGCCCCUCAAAGUGAACCAUGGCUUCAGUAAUAGGGUCUUAACAUCUAAUUAUGGUGGGCAACCAAGGCAACGACAGUGCCCUGUGUUGUUUUGGGCACGUCUGGAGACUCCAUGACCAAUAAUUCAUAAGGAGCUAUCCCAUACAUGGGGCUAAGAUUUUCAUUUAGUAACCAUGUCUUCUGGGAGCAGUGUUGGGCACAUCGUAGAACACCUCUAUUGAAAAUAUCAGUAAGGUCCGAUACUCCAAAAGUGCUAGGGGGUAAAACAGGGAGGACAUUUCAAUGUACAGGCACAGGCAUGGACUUUCUGAGUAUCUUCCUGCAGUGUAGGAAAACCGGAAAUGGACAAAUGGGACCUCAAAAAAUGAAAAGCCCAGGAAACUGCCAAUCAAGCAAAAUGGCAGCUUGGAGAAUGAGGGGAGUCCUUGCCUGCUAUAUCUGAAAAAGGACCAGCUUCUAGAGUUCAUGAAGAAUUUAUGAAACUAAACGUCAAGAAAAGAAACAACCAGUUUUUAAUGAAUGGACCAUGGGACUGGACAAGAAAGAUAAGACAAUAAAUACUUUAAAAAGCGUUCAGCAUCCUCAGCUGUCAGGGCAAGGCAGAUUAAAAUUACAUUUAAGGAUUCUUCUUUUUAGGGCACUUUAUAUUUUGAUCCAACCCUUUUUCUUUUAGGUGGUUCAUGACUUUAGCUAAUUAUUUUUAUUAUUUUUAUUUCUGUGGAGUUGAGGACUGACUUCAGUACUCAUCCGUGCUAGAUAAGUGCUCGGUCACUAACUUACCACACCCCCAGCCUCUCACUGGCGGACUCUGGGCAAUCGCUCCACAGCCGAGCCACGCCCCUAGCCUCUCACUGGAGGACUCUAGGCAAUCGCUCCACAGCUGAGCCACGCCCCCAGCCUCUCACUGGUGGACUCUGGGCAAUCGCUCCAUAGCCGAGCCAUGCACCCAGCGUAAAAUAUGGUCCUCAGCAUCACACUAACAAGGGCUUCCGGCGUGCUUAGCAAGCACCCUACUAACUGAACAACAUCUUCAGCUCUGCUUCCUGCUUUGUUAUUAUUAUUGUUUAAUGAGGUCUACUGAAGGUUUUACUCCUCUUCCCCCUCCCCUCCCCUUCUUUUUCAAUUCUGUGGUGCUAGGGAUAGAGGCUGGGGGUGCGCUAAGCAAAUGCUCUACCACCGAACUAUGGCUUCCCGCACUGCCCUGGCUUUCUUAUUUUGCAUACAAAUUCUAUUUUGGUUGUCUGGCCACAGUCAUGCACAAAUCUACCUUCCUUAUGCCAGUUUGGGUGCACCACACGAAACCAUGUAUGCCUCAACCAACCCACCAACCAAGCAGCUCAUCAAACAAAUAAAAUCAAACGAAAAAAAAUACUUCACAUAAUUGCAUCAAGGUGUGUAUGUGUUGACAUAAACUAGGGUCAUCUCAGUGGAGGGAACCUAAUUGAGGAGCUUCCUCCCUUACAGACACGUUUUACGGUGUUUUCUUGAUUAAUGAUCGAUGUGGUAGGGUCUGUGAUGCCAUGGGCAGUAUCCCCCUGGGCAGGUGGUCCUGGCUUGUAUAAAAAGGCAAGGUGAUCGAGCCAUGGAGAGCAAGCCAGUAAGCAGUGUUUGUUCUUCCAUGGCCUCUGCUUCAGUUCCUGCCUGUAGGUCCCUGAUUGAGUUCCUGACCUGUUUUCCUACAAGGACGGACUGUGAUGCGGAAGUGUGACGGAGUAAACCAUUUCCUCCCUUACGCUGCUGUUGGCCAUUUAUCAGCAGCUAGGCCAGGUCGGGUACGUUUUUAUUCUGUCAUGUGCCUGUCUUGUUGUCUGAAGAUUUAUUUUUAAAAUCUUUAUGUGUGGGAGUGUUUUGCCAACAUGUAUGCACACCACUCGUGUGCCGAGUGCCCCUGGGAGCCAGAAGAGGCUGCUGGAUCUACUGGAGCUGGAGUUAUAAGUGUUUGAGACGUACCAGAUCGUGGAUGCUGGGAGGAGAACCUGGGUCCUCUGCAAGAGUGGUGCACACUCCAGCUCCUACUUAUCCUUAACCUUCUUUUGCUGUCUUACCUUGAAUGACAAGAUUUACUUCAUUCCAUCCUGCCCACCCUUAGUUACUUGGAACCUGUGAUGUAAACGCCUACUGUCCUAUCAGCUUUCACACGUUUUAGGCACCGUUUAUAGACUGCAGUCUCCCAACUUGACUGCCCUCUCCCAUGCUCCCCCACAUCGCUGCUUGCUGAUGCUAACAGACCUUUACCCUCAUUGGCACUGCCAACAGGAAACACUGUGGAAUAUGCACCGAAGCUCAGUUUCCUGCUCCUUACUCUCCACUGCCCUGAGGUUUCCUGGCUGCUGGAACCCGUGAUUCAUUCAUUAAUUCGCAAGUAUACCGGGCAAGUUCCUCAGGUCGCCCAUCCUGGAGAAGCCUUCACUGUCGUCCCUUCACGUUGUCUUCGGCAGGGAACAUGGAAUUCUACGUUCUGAGUUUAUCCUCAGAACUUUUGCCAAAGAACCCCCCUGCCCUCAGGUCUUUUCAGAUAACUUGUUUAACUUCGUUUCCAUUUUAUUGACAUCCUACUAAUUGAUUAGUUAGUUAAUUGUUCUUCUGUUUCGAGGAAUAGGUUUUUGUUUUCUUGUUUUUCAUUUUGUUUUUGAGACAAGAGUCUCCAGACCAGACUGGCUUCAAAUCCAACACAUAGCAGAGGAUGCCCUUGAGCUCCCCAUUCCCCUGCCAACUCCUCCUGAGCCGGGAGUGCACCACUCUGCCUGGUGGUUUAUGUGAUGCUGGGGGAUGGAGCCCAGGACUUCGUGAAUUCUAAGCAAGUGCUCUACCCAGUGAGCCACUUCCAAGCCUGUAAUUUAUCUUUCUUCACUUAUGGAAAACCAUCCAGAAUCCUUCUGUAUAGCCUCCUACUUGUAAGAGCCUUAUUUGUAAAAGGAGCUGAACGUCAGCAGUGCAGGCUCAACCUUCAGAAUCCACUGAUGUAUUAAAUGUGCAGCACGUCUCCUGGUGCACUUCUGAUACAUUUUAGGAGCGUUUCCAAGCUUGUUCUUCGGUUAUUUUCAUGUUUCUCUUCAGUCUGUUGAAUUUUUAUUUCAACAGGGAACAUGUAACCUCUAAGCUGCCCACUUUUAGCGGUGGCAAUAUGUUCUUUUGCGUCUCUUAAAAGCACCCGUGCAUCUUUUCUAUAGCCACCCCCUCACCUGUUUUCUCCAGUCAAUGUUUCUUUGACAAACCACCUUCCGUGAGUGGUGCCUCUAUCUUACCAUCCUGAAAGACGUCUGGUGGUGACUGGCGUUGCGCUCACUCAACCCCCUGAUCCUCCUGCCUCAGCUUCCCCAGGGUCAGUUGUACCACCAUGGCUGGAGCUCAGCCACCUGUAUCCUUCGGAUUAUGUGGUAGACUACCUGCUGCCCCGUCCCUACACCAAGGAGGAUUGUGCCACUGACACCGCUAAUUGUCUUUUUACUUAUUUAUUUAUUUUUAUGAUGUGUAUGCAUGUGUGUAUACUCGAGGGCCGUCACAUACCUUCUGCCCCAAGAAGCUCCCGAGAUUAGGGGUUAGGGAUACCCUUGCAGAUCUCUCCUUUUUUGUUCAGGCUUUGUCACAACUCAUCCACCUUCCUCUUUUCUCUGCUGCAUAUCCUUGCCUCUGCCUGUCUAUCUUUUCAUUAUAUCUUUUUUUUUUAUCAUUUCUAUUACAUGAGAUGGUGGAGUAGUUUCACGCCCUUUAGUGUGGCAGGAAAUAAUGAGAAAAUGAAACACCAUCUCAUGCUAGUGUCAGCACUGGUGGGCCACAUGGCACCAGCAGGGUGUUCCCAUCUCGGCAGACUCUCUGGUCAAUGCCACCCCAGC